UAUACCUACGGGACGCAGCAGUGGGGAAUAUUGCACAGUGGGGGAAACCCUGAUGCAGCGACGCCGCGUGAGUGAAGAAGUAAUUCGUUAUGUAAAGCUCUAUCAGCAGGGAAGAAAAUGACGGUACCUGAGUAAGAAGCCCCGGCUAACUACGUGCCAGCAGCCGCGGUAAUACGUAGGGGGCAAGCGUUAUCCGGAUUUACUGGGUGUAAAGGGAGCGUAGACGGCAGGGCAAGUCUGG
Molecule: ribosomal RNA, 241 nt
Filed under: uncultured bacterium
Lineage: Bacteria
Description: partial 16S ribosomal RNA
Rfam family: Bacterial small subunit ribosomal RNA
Source: RNAcentral